AUUCAGCUGACGAGUUUCAAAUGGGACGAAACGCAGAUCCUGGAU
Schistosoma curassoni is the source of this 45-nucleotide non-coding RNA. The record is from Rfam. NCBI's taxonomy places the organism in Eukaryota, Metazoa, Platyhelminthes, Trematoda, Strigeidida, Schistosomatidae.